RNAcentral lists this ribosomal RNA (450 nucleotides) under uncultured bacterium. RNAcentral describes it as "partial 16S ribosomal RNA". It matches the Rfam family "Bacterial small subunit ribosomal RNA", at positions 354 to 796 of the family's 1533-position model. The record is from RNAcentral.
GUGGGGAAUUUUGGACAAUGGGCGCAAGCCUGAUCCAGCAAUGCCGCGUGCAGGAAGAAGGCCUUCGGGUUGUAAACUGCUUUUGUACGGAACGAAACGGUCCUGGCUAAUACCUGGGGCUAAUGACGGUACCGUAAGAAUAAGCACCGGCUAACUACGUGCCAGCAGCCGCGGUAAUACGUAGGGUGCGAGCGUUAAUCGGAAUUACUGGGCGUAAAGCGUGCGCAGGCGGUGCUGUAAGACAGGCGUGAAAUCCCCGGGCUCAACCUGGGAAUUGCGCUGGUGACUGCAGUGCUGGAGUACGUCAGAGGGGGAUGGAAUUCCGCGUGUAGCAGUGAAAUGCGUAGAUAUGCGGAGGAACACCGAUGGCGAAGGCAAUCCCCUGGGCCUGCACUGACGCUCAUGCACGAAAGCGUGGGGAGCAAACAGGAUUAGAAACCCCGGUAGUCC